This is a long non-coding RNA of Felis catus (domestic cat), 313 nucleotides long. RefSeq lists it as uncharacterized. The record is from RefSeq and is a predicted model, not a curated record. The transcript has 3 exons. Lineage: Eukaryota; Metazoa; Chordata; Mammalia; Carnivora; Felidae.
GGGACGAGGACUCGCUUUAGGAGCUCCCAUUCCCCGCAGGCUGGGAGGCAUGUGUUCCAGGUGGGGCAGUGGAGACCCAGGAAGGCCAGAGCUGGUGCUUCGGACUUCAAGUAAGGCGUCCUGUGCAGCCCAGAGAGAUCCUGUGAGCGUCUCGCCCUAAUCCCCCGGAUCCUGUCUUCAUUUGAAAUUUUGAGAUUUACUGUAGACGUGGUAGGAGAAAUAAUGAUUCCCCCCUCCCCAAAUGUCCACAUCCUAACCCCUGGAACCCGUGACUGUGUUACCUCACCUAAUAAAAGGGAUUUUGCAGACAUGA